CUCUCUCUCUCUCUCUCUCUCUCUCUCUCUCCACAAGUUCCAAGAUGAAAACAUCCAAUUUAAAAUGGCGCGCAACAAUUGACACCAUAACCGCUUCCCAAACCCAACCCCAACCCUAGGAGAAAAGCAGAAAUUUUGAGGAAGAAGAAGACAGAGAGAGCCAUGUCCAACUUCAUUCCUCAAGACGUCGCUGUGGAUAUACUCUCCAGACUCCCUACCAAAUCCCUAAUCCAAUUCAGGUCUGUUUCCUAACUCUGGAACUCUCUCAUUACCAGCCCUAAUUUCAUCAUUUCCCACCUCAAUCAGUCACUCACAAACCCUAAAAACAGCUACGACAAUCUCCCUCUCGUAAUAGUCAGGCAAUGCGUUCCUACUCCCUAUAUCAGAUUAAAGCACUACAAACUAUUUGUUGAUACCGGUGAAGAAGAUAACCCAUUUGAUGAAUAUCUGGAAAUUCCAUUCCCACUCAUGAGCCGUCGUCUUCACUAUCACUAUAUAAUGGGUUAUGUGAAAGGUUUGUUCUGUCUUUGGGAACAUGAUAACAUUUUCCUUUGGAACCCGUCCAUUAGGAAGUCCAUUAUCCUUCCCAAGCCUGGCAUUACAAAAAAGACACACGACAGCUUGGCGGAUGACCUUGGGUUUGGGUACGAUUUGCGGAGUAAUGAUUAUAAAGUGGUGAGGAUAGUCACCCGUUGUGGAAGUGACCGGUCCCAAGAUGAUGAGUCUCCUCUUGUUGAGGUUUACUCCCUUAAAGCGGGAUCGUGGAAAAUGAAUCGCGGAGCAGGUGAGUCUUUUCCCCUUGGAUUUCGAAUAGCCUAUUCGCAAAACUUUACCUCUUGUUUGGAAGGGGUUCUUCAUUGGGCAGCAAAGGCUAAAGGGAAUUGGAAUAAUAGAUUGGUUUUGUCAUUUGAUUUGUGUGUCGAGGUGUUUAAAACGAUUAAAAUGCCAAAUGGUCUUGAAAGUGCAAGAUUUGACAUCACAACUUCAGUAUUUGGGGGAUUUCUUUCUCUGUUAUGUGAGGAUAAUGUUGAUCGUGCAAACAAGUCUUGUUCUAUUUGGAUAAUGAAAGAGUAUGGAGUAGUUGAUUCUUGGUAUAAGUAUGUCAAAAUUGAUCUAACCGGAGGAAUGUAAGGGGUCAUAGGUAUCUGAAAGAAUGGUCAUGUACUAUUGAAGGGAGACUCACCACUUCAUUGGGAGCUUUCUUCGUAUGACCCGCGGAAUAAAGAAAUCAAGAAGUUGGGAAUUCAUGGUACUUUAGGACAUUUUCAUGUUGAUACUUAUGAGGAGAACCUUAUCUUACUCAAUAAGACAGAUGCUCCAGUGUCUAGAAGGGGCAGGAAAAGGAAAGACAGCACUCAAUCACUAAUGGAGGCACAGGCACUUGUUAUCGAUGUUAAAAGGCUGAAGUAUGAAGUUGUUGUCCUGCAAGAAAGGGUAGAGGGAAAGAUAAAGGUAGCAUGUGAGGUGGUAGCAAAAAUGGGGCCUCAACAGUUAGCCGAGGUCCGCGCCAAACUCUAGAGUUAUUCUCCGCAAAUUCAACCCAAGGAUGUUCACGGCAAUAUAGAAAUCAAUUCGACGAGGCUUACUGCUGCUUCUCAAGAUUCAGUGGCGAAUGAUUGUGAUGUAGCUGAGAAAUUAGCCACAAUCAUGUCCUUAGCAGGGGUGAAAGCGUGAAGGGAAAACAUGUGAAUGGCGGCACAUCUGCAAGCCAAGGGUUUUGCAGUAAGGAUUGUUCCUUGAACAAGGAUUUGGAGUUUUUGAGAAAGGGGAAGGGUGAAUAUGCUGGAAUGCUGGUGAAGGUUUCUCGAAUGGUUUCUCGAUUGGAUCAAAUAGUGGAGACCAUUAUUACGUAAAGUACCCCCAAUUCCAGGUACUAUUUGAACCUCGUCAAAAAUUUCCAAUCCAAUUUUGUUAUUACCAGAGCAAUGAGUUCGCUUGUUUAUAGCAUUAUACCAGUCAUAAGCAUUGUGGUAUUAUUAGUGUCUUCUUGCUAAGAUCAAUAUGGAGAAAUGGUUAGGUAAGUGUCCCUUGUUCGCAAAACUAUAUUGUCUUUAAUUAUCUUACAUUUGUUAAAACUAUUGGGUAAAUUUCACUUACCUCCCCUGAGGUUUCUGACAAUGACAGACACCUCCC
RNA transcript from Rhododendron vialii, 2133 nucleotides. It is a transcript of the gene named F-box/kelch-repeat protein At3g23880-like, with no coding region annotated. Lineage: Eukaryota; Viridiplantae; Streptophyta; Magnoliopsida; Ericales; Ericaceae. The record is from RefSeq and is a predicted model, not a curated record. The transcript is spliced from 4 exons.